AAAGAAAGGGCAAUAUUGAUAGGUAAGUAUGCAUGAUUGUAUUCUUGGUUUAGUAGUUAAAAGAAAGGGCAAUAUUGAUAGGUAAGUAUGCAUUUUUUAUUUUUAUUUUUUUUUGAGAGAGAUAGAUAGCACGCUACUCACUUCGUUUAUUUCAUUUAAAAAUAAACUGAGCUGAAAAUGUGAAUCAACUAGGAUUCGAACUUAGAACCUCGGAUACCAACUAUCAAACCUUUUGCCACUUUCUCUAGAAACGAUCGGUGAUA
RNAcentral lists this long non-coding RNA (263 nucleotides) under Ananas comosus (pineapple). Its description in RNAcentral is "long non-coding RNA (ACOM_LNC019155)". Lineage: Eukaryota; Viridiplantae; Streptophyta; Magnoliopsida; Poales; Bromeliaceae. The record is from RNAcentral.